This 484-nucleotide ribosomal RNA is filed under the name uncultured bacterium. RNAcentral describes it as "partial 16S ribosomal RNA". It matches the Rfam family "Bacterial small subunit ribosomal RNA", at positions 28 to 507 of the family's 1533-position model. The record is from RNAcentral.
AUUGAACGCUGGCGGCAUGCUUUACACAUGCAAGUCGAACGGCAGCGCGGGCUUCGGCCUGGCGGCGAGUGGCGAACGGGUGAGUAAUGCAUCGGAACGUGCCCAGUAGUGGGGGAUAGCCCGGCGAAAGCCGGAUUAAUACCGCGUACGACCUGAGGGUGAAAGCGGGGGACCGAAAGGCCUCGCGCUAUUGGAGCGGCCGAUGUCGGAUUAGCUAGUUGGUGGGGUAAAGGCUUACCAAGGCGACGAUCCGUAGCUGGUCUGAGAGGACGACCAGCCACACUGGGACUGAGACACGGCCCAGACUCCUACGGGAGGCAGCAGUGGGGAAUUUUGGACAAUGGGGGCAACCCUGAUCCAGCCAUGCCGCGUGCGGGAAGAAGGCCUUCGGGUUGUAAACCGCUUUUGUUCGGGAAGAAAUCCUCUGGGCUAAUACCCCGGGGGGAUGACGGUACCGGAAGAAUAAGCACCGGCUAACUACGUG